ACCACCAAAAUUAACUCAGAAGUAUAGAUAAUUUAGCAUUGAAUAAAUUAACGAAACUAAAUCAUUUUUCCACCUUAGUACGGGAGACGGAAAAGGUAAUUUAAGCAAUAGAGAAAGUACCGCAAGGGAAAGCUGAAAGAGUAAUGAAAUAAUUCAUUUAAGCACAAAAAAGCAGAGCUUAACCCUUGUACCUUUUGCAUCAUGAUUUAGCCAGCACUACCCAAGCAAAGUGACCUUUAGUUUGAAACCCCGAAACCAAGUGAGCUACCCCGGGACAGCCUUAGAGGGCGAACCCGUCUCUGUGGCAAAAGAGUGGGAAGAGCCCCGGGUAGAGGUGAUAAACCUACCGAACUUGGUGAUAGCUGGUUGCCUGAGAAAUGAAUAGAAGUUCAGCCUCGUAUCCCUUUAGCCAACCAAGAAAUAUCUAAAUAAGCACAAAAGAGAAAUACGAGAGUUAGUUGAAGGGGGUACAGCCCCUUUAAUAAAGGACACAACCUUAAAUAGGUGGAUAAGAGUCACAUUUUAUAAAACUAGUUGUUCCAGUGGGCCUAAAAGCAGCCAUCUGAGUAGAAAGCGUUAAAGCUCAAACAACAUGCAGUUUAUUAUACUGAUAAAUAACCCAACUCCCCUAGAAAUAUUAGGCCAUUCCAUGCCACCAUGGAAGAGACCAUGCUAAAAUGAGUAACAGGAGGAUAUGAUCCUCUCCUAGCACAAGUGUAAGCCAGAUCGGACAAACCACUGGAAAUUAACGAGCCCAGAAAAAGAGGGUAAUGUGGCCAACAAAGAAAUCAGGAAAAUACCACAGCAUUUAUAUCGUUAAACCCACACUGGAGUGCCUCCAAGGAAAGACUAAAAGAAAGGGAAGGAACUCGGCAAACACAAGCCUCGCCUGUUUACCAAAAACAUCGCCUCCUGCAAAUCCCUACGUAUAGGAGGUCCAGCCUGCCCGGUGACUACAAGUUUAACGGCCGCGGUAUUUUGACCGUGCAAAGGUAGCGCAAUCACUUGUCUUUUAAAUGAAGACCUGUAUGAAUGGCUAAACGAGGGCUUAGCUGUCUCCCUUUUCAGGUCAGUGAAAUUGAUCUACCCGUGCAG
This 1095-nucleotide ribosomal RNA is filed under the name Triplophysa hsutschouensis. Its description in RNAcentral is "partial large subunit ribosomal RNA". It matches the Rfam family "Bacterial large subunit ribosomal RNA", at positions 144 to 2058 of the family's 2925-position model. The record is from RNAcentral. Lineage: Eukaryota; Metazoa; Chordata; Actinopteri; Cypriniformes; Nemacheilidae.